RNAcentral lists this ribosomal RNA (253 nucleotides) under uncultured bacterium. RNAcentral describes it as "partial 16S ribosomal RNA". It matches the Rfam family "Bacterial small subunit ribosomal RNA", at positions 524 to 776 of the family's 1533-position model. The record is from RNAcentral.
UACGUAGGAUGCAAGCGUUGUUCGGAAUUACUGGGCGUAAAGAGUACGUAGGCGGUUUGAUAAGUCUGAUAUUAAAGACUGGGGCUUAACCUCAGGAAUGUAUCGGAAACUGUCAGACUAGAGGACAAUAGAGGAAGUCGGAAUUCUCAGUGUAGCGGUGAAAUGCGUAGAUAUUGGGAAGAACACCAGUGGCGAAAGCGGACUUCUGGGUUGUUACUGACGCUGAGGUACGAAAGCGUGGGGAGCAAACGGG